UACGGAGAGUGCAAGCAUUAAUCGGAAUUAUUGGGCGUAAAGGGCGCGUAGGCGGAAUUAUAAGUCAGAUGUGAAAUUCUGAAGCUCAACUUCAGAGCUGCAUUUGAAACUGUAAGUCUAGAGGGUUGACGGAGAAAACGGAAUUCCACGUGUAGCGGUGAAAUGCGUAGAUAUGUGGAAGAACACCUGUGGCGAAAGCGGUUUUCUAGUUAAUACCUGACGCUGAGGCGCGAGAGCAAGGGGAGCAAACAGG
This 253-nucleotide ribosomal RNA is filed under the name uncultured Simkania sp. RNAcentral describes it as "partial 16S ribosomal RNA". It matches the Rfam family "Bacterial small subunit ribosomal RNA", at positions 524 to 776 of the family's 1533-position model. The record is from RNAcentral. Lineage: Bacteria; Pseudomonadati; Chlamydiota; Chlamydiia; Parachlamydiales; Simkaniaceae.